CCGUGGGAGACUACCACGUGAUAGGUCAGAGGUGUAAGUGCAGUAAUGUAUUAAGCUGACUGAUACUAAUAGGUCGAACACUUGACCAG
Molecule: ribosomal RNA, 89 nt
Filed under: [Eubacterium] sulci
Lineage: Bacteria; Bacillati; Bacillota; Clostridia; Peptostreptococcales; Anaerovoracaceae
Description: partial 23S ribosomal RNA
Rfam family: Bacterial large subunit ribosomal RNA
Source: RNAcentral